Molecule: ribosomal RNA, 402 nt
Filed under: bacterium
Lineage: Bacteria
Description: partial 16S ribosomal RNA
Rfam family: Bacterial small subunit ribosomal RNA
Source: RNAcentral
UGGGGAAUUUUGCACAAUGGGGGAAACCCUGAUGCAGCGACGCCGCGUGAUUUAGAAGGCCUUCGGGUUGUAAAAAUCUUUUCUAUGGGAAGAAAAUGACAGUACCAUAGGAAUAAGGACUGGCUAAUUACGUGCCAGCAGCCGCGGUAAUACGUAAGGUCCGAGCGUUGUCCGGAAUCAUUGGGCGUAAAGGGUACGUAGGCGGGUAAGCAAGUUAGAAGUGAAAUCCUAUAGCUCAACUAUAGUAAGCUUUUAAAACUGCUCAUCUUGAGGUAUGGAAAGGAAAGUGGAAUUCCUUGUGUAGCGGUAAAAUGCGCAGAUAUUAGGAGGAAUACCGGUGGCGAAGGCGACUUUCUGGCCAUAACCUGACGCUGAGGUACGAAAGCGUGGGUAGCAAACAGG